UUGAGUUUGAUCMUGGCUCAGAUUGAACGCUGGCGGCAGGCCUAACACAUGCAAGUCGAGCGGAAACGAUGGAAGCUUGCUUCCAGGCGUCGAGCGGCGGACGGGUGAGUAAUGCAUGGGAAUCUGCCCGAUAGUGGGGGAUAACCUGGGGAAACCCAGGCUAAUACCGCAUACGUCCUACGGGAGAAAGCAGGGGAUCUUCGGACCUUGCGCUAUCGGAUGAGCCCAUGUCGGAUUAGCUUGUUGGUGAGGUAAUGGCUCACCAAGGCGACGAUCCGUAGCUGGUCUGAGAGGAUGAUCAGCCACAUCGGGACUGAGACACGGCCCGAACUCCUACGGGAGGCAGCAGUGGGGAAUAUUGGACAAUGGGCGAAAGCCUGAUCCAGCCAUGCCGCGUGUGUGAAGAAGGCCCUCGGGUUGUAAAGCACUUUCAGUGGGGAAGAA
This 444-nucleotide ribosomal RNA is filed under the name Halomonas sp. M17-C20. RNAcentral's name for it is "bacterial SSU rRNA". It matches the Rfam family "Bacterial small subunit ribosomal RNA", at positions 1 to 449 of the family's 1533-position model. The record is from RNAcentral. Lineage: Bacteria; Pseudomonadati; Pseudomonadota; Gammaproteobacteria; Oceanospirillales; Halomonadaceae.